AGGAGCCACAGGCCUGCAGAGGGGUGGCUCCCCAGACACCCCCAGCAGGGCAGGUGGGGAAACUGAGCCUGAGGAACUGUAAGUAGCCAGCCCAAGACUGAACAGCCAGUAAGAGGCCAAGCCAAGAGGAAAACCCAGUUAAAGAUGUUGCAGGGCACUUCUGCAGCCUCCUGCAGACUCUUCAUAAAUAUUCACAAGUGGAAGCAGAGACUCUCAGUCAGAGAACGUUUCAUGGUGGUUGCAGCUCAGGGCCACCGCUUGGAGAGGUGCUGGGUCAGGGGCGGUGGAGGCAGCUCCCUGCCUUCCCCUGGGUUACCUGGGCCCAGAGUCGUCUGUUUCCUGGAUGCCAUGUCUGUGCAGCCCCUGCAGGAUGAGAGUGGUGGUGGCUGCAUGUUUGCCUGUGUAGUUUCUCAUACAUGUGUGCACAGGAGUGACACACACACAUCAGCUCUUACCUGGACCUGGCUUCCCCACCUUGGUCUGGUGCUGCUACUCUGAGUGGAGGAGUGAACCCUCACCUGCCCUCAGCUCCAGAGAAAGAGAGAAGUAUCAAUGUAAAAGAGAAACAUCAAUUGGUCACCUUCUCAUGCGCACCCUGAGCAGGAACUGAACCUGCGACCCUUCGGUCCACGGGCGACACUCCAGUCAACUAAGCCGCACCAGCCAAGGCAUUGCCGGGACAUGGUUAGAGGGAGAGGCUGCCCGGGAGCACCCUGGCCAUCCCAGGGGGACCAGGCAGGGGGCUGGGCUCCGGUGCCUGGGAGUUCCCCAUCCGAAAGGACAGCCUGGCUGUAAGGGCUUCCGACUUCAGUGCUGGCCUCCCUGGUCUCCAGCUGUCCUCCUCAACCUAUGUGGGGUGCCUCUACUGAUACAGCACAGGCCCACCCCCUUGCUGCUCAUAGUACUGACCAUCUUCCCGUGACCCCCAAGCCCCUGCUGGAGCUCAGCCCCUGGAGCCCUCCCUACCCCCGGGCUUGCGCAUGUGGGUCACGGCCUCAAGUGCUGCAUUUCACUUCCUUCCUCCUGUGAGCUGCUGCUCCUGCCCCAUCUCUCCAGCCAUGGAGGCAGGGCACAGAUAAAUAAGAACAAA
Molecule: long non-coding RNA, 1090 nt
Organism: Phyllostomus hastatus (greater spear-nosed bat)
Lineage: Eukaryota; Metazoa; Chordata; Mammalia; Chiroptera; Phyllostomidae
Exons: 5
Source: RefSeq, a predicted model, not a curated record